GUGUAGCAUGAAGUCCAAGUUACUUCCAGAAGCACCUGAGGUAGCAUGGCUUUUUCAACAAGAGGAUAAGCAACGUGAGGGCCAGAAGGAGGAAACACACUCUAUCUUUGCACUUCGGAUUCAAAACUCACUCUACCUUGGAAAAUCAUUGGCUCCCUCGCUCUGCUAUUUUUUGCUGCUGGUCCAUGGAAGCUGGGAGAUCCGUGUGUCAGGCUAACUCUAAGGUCGCCCCCUGGUGUCCGUUUCUUGCAUAAUCCACCAAGCAGGCUUCAGUGACACAUCUCAGCCUCUCUUACUGGAUACUCUCAGAGGCUCCAAGAAGACGUGAAGGGAAGUCUAGAGAAUAAAGGCACCACCCAGGUGGACCUAGCUUCA
This 375-nucleotide long non-coding RNA is filed under the name Mus spicilegus (steppe mouse). Its description in RNAcentral is "lncRNA (ENSMSIG00000028768.1)". The record is from RNAcentral. Lineage: Eukaryota; Metazoa; Chordata; Mammalia; Rodentia; Muridae.